RNAcentral lists this small RNA (1719 nucleotides) under Pan troglodytes (chimpanzee). Its description in RNAcentral is "processed transcript". The record is from RNAcentral. Lineage: Eukaryota; Metazoa; Chordata; Mammalia; Primates; Hominidae.
AUGGAGCGAGCUGAGAGCUCGAGUACAGAACCUGCUAAGGCCAUCAAACCUAUUGAUCGGAAGUCAGUCCAUCAGAUUUGCUCUGGGCAGGUUGUACUGAGUCUAAGCACUGCGGUGAAGGAGUUAGUAGAAAACAGUCUGGAUGCUGGUGCCACUAAUAUUGAUCUAAAGCUUAAGGACUAUGGAGUCGAUCUUAUUGAAGUUUCAGACAAUGGAUGUGGGGUAGAAGAAGAAAACUUUGAAGGCUUAACUCUGAAACAUCACACAUCUAAGAUUCAAGAGUUUGCCGACCUAACUCAGGUUGAAACUUUUGGCUUUCGGGGGGAAGCUCUGAGCUCACUUUGUGCACUGAGCGAUGUCACCAUUUCUACCUGCCACGCAUCGGCGAAGGUUGGAACUCGACUGAUGUUUGAUCACAAUGGGAAAAUUAUCCAGAAAACCCCCUACCCCCGCCCCAGAGGGACCACAGUCAGCGUGCAGCAGUUAUUUUCCACACUACCUGUGCGCCAUAAGGAAUUUCAAAGGAAUAUUAAGAAGGAGUAUGCCAAAAUGGUCCAGGUCUUACAUGCAUACUGUAUCAUUUCAGCAGGCAUCCGUGUAAGUUGCACCAAUCAGCUUGGACAAGGAAAACGACAGCCUGUGGUAUGCACAGGUGGAAGCCCCAGCAUAAAGGAAAAUAUUGGCUCUGUGUUUGGGCAGAAGCAGUUGCAAAGCCUGAUUCCUUUUGUUCAGCUGCCCCCUAGUGACUCCGUGUGUGAAGAGUACGGUUUGAGCUGUUCGGAUGCUCUGCAUAAUCUUUUUUACAUCUCAGGUUUCAUUUCACAAUGCGCACGUGGAGUUGGAAGGAGUUCAACAGACAGACAGUUUUUCUUUAUCAACCGGCGGCCUUGUGACCCAGCAAAGGUCUGCAGACUUGUGAAUGAGGUCUACCACAUGUAUAAUCGACACCAGUAUCCAUUUGUUGUUCUUAACAUUUCUGUUGAUUCAGAAUGUGUUGAUAUCAAUGUUACUCCAGAUAAAAGGCAAAUUUUGCUACAAGAGGAAAAGCUUUUGUUGGCAGUUUUAAAGACCUCUUUGAUAGGAAUGUUUGAUAGUGAUGUCAACAAGCUAAAUGUCAGUCAGCAGCCACUGCUGGAUGUUGAAGGUAACUUAAUAAAAAUGCAUGCAGCGGAUUUGGAAAAGCCCAUGGUAGAAAAGCAGGAUCAAUCCCCUUCAUUAAGGACUGGAGAAGAAAAAAAGGACGUGUCCAUUUCCAGACUGCGAGAGGCCUUUUCUCUUCGUCACACAACAGAGAACAAGCCUCACAGCCCAAAGACUCCAGAACCAAGAAGGAGCCCUCUAGGACAGAAAAGGGGUAUGCUGUCUUCUAGCACUUCAGAUGCCAUCUCUGACAGAGGCGUCCUGAGACCUCAGAAAGAGGCAGCGAGUUCCAGUCAGGGACCCAGUGACCCUACGGACAGAGCGGAGGUGGAGAAGGACUCGGGGCACGGCAGCACUUCCGUGGAUUCUGAGGGGUUCAGCAUCCCAGACACGGGCAGUCACUGCAGCAGCAAGUGUGUGGCCAGCACCCCAGGGGACAGGGGCUCGCAGGAACAUGUGGACUCUCAGGAGAAAGCGCCUGAAACUGACGACUGUUUUUCAGAUGUGGACUGCCAUUCAAACCAGGAAGAUACCGGGUUAAAAACUGGACCUUCGGACCCCAGGACGUCGAUGAACUGA